Molecule: long non-coding RNA, 276 nt
Organism: Salvelinus sp. IW2-2015
Lineage: Eukaryota; Metazoa; Chordata; Actinopteri; Salmoniformes; Salmonidae
Source: RefSeq, a predicted model, not a curated record
AUCAGUGAAGCUGGAAGACUGCAGUCAAACACUGGAGUUGAMUGUCAACAUUAAAGAUGAAGAGGAGGAGGAGAUUGGGACAUCUGUUUCUCAUGGAGACCAUGUUGAGACAUUCUCCACAUCCAGAGAGCAACAGCAGGAAGAUCACAGAGCUAAGAGGUUUCACCAUUGCCCACAUUGUGAGGAGAUUUUCCCAUUUCUAUCAAAGCUAAAAAUACACCUAAAAAUACACACAGGAGAGAAUCUGUAUUCCUGCACUGACUGUGGGARRAGCUU